CCUACGGGAGGCAGCAGUGGGGAAUCUUGCGCAAUGCGCGAAAGCGUGACGCAGCAACGCCGCGUGAGGGAAGACGGCCUUCGGGUUGUAAACCUCUUUCAGUUGGGACGAAGCCACGGCGGUUAAUACCCGUCUGUGGUGACGGUACCUUCAGAAGAAGCCCCGGCUAACUACGUGCCAGCAGCCGCGGUAAUACGUAGGGGGCAAGCGUUGUCCGGAAUCAUUGGGCGUAAAGCGCGUGUAGGCGGCUUGGUAAGUCCGCUCUGAAAGCCCGGGGCUCAACCCCGGGAGGCGGGUGGAUACUGUCAAGCUCGAGUCCGGAAGAGGCGAGUGGAAUUCCUGGUGUAGCGGUGAAAUGCGCAGAUAUCAGGAGGAACACCAAUGGCGAAGGCAGCUCGCUGGGACGUGACUGACGCUGAGACGCGAAAGCGUGGGGAGGCAAACAGGAUUAGAUACCCUGGUAGUCCACGCCGUAAACCGAUGGGCACUAGGUGUGGGGGUGUCGGACUCCCCCGUGCCGAAGCUAACGCAUAGUGCCCGCCGUCGGGAGGUACGGCGUGCGACGGACGUAAACCGUAACCGUAAACGGUUAAAGUUAGUACGGCGUUGAGACGNGCCGACGGACGACGACGAGGGAGGAGG
This 642-nucleotide ribosomal RNA is filed under the name uncultured bacterium. Its description in RNAcentral is "bacterial SSU rRNA". The stretch from base 1 to 542 matches the Rfam family "Bacterial small subunit ribosomal RNA", at positions 338 to 873 of the family's 1533-position model. The record is from RNAcentral.